AAAUGCCAGUAAAGUAAUCAGCAAGCAUAACAAUGUCGACACACGCAGGAUCCGACUACGGUCUGAAGACUUGGAUCAAUGGACUGAACCUUGGAAAGUCCAAGUCUCACGUGCUCAAAUUCUAGCUGGGCUCAGCGCUCCAGAGAAGAAAGCCCAACGCUCCUUCAACCAGCGCCCAUUCCUCACGCCAUUCAACCAAACUCAGCCAGCGGGAGAAAACAAAAAGAAACACUGUUUUGUUGCAACCUCGAUGAAUAGCCCAAGCGAUUCGACGGCUGCGUAUGCGCAGGCGUAGCACCUCUCUCACAACCCCAGCCGUUAUCUGCAAAUCCUCCAUCCGCCAUCCAAGACAUACAAAACCAUGUCCUUCACCCAACCCGUCCCCGCCGAGUACCAAACCCCGUCGUUCCCUUCCCUCUACGUGUCCUCGGGCUUCUACCACGAUGGAUACCAAUACCUCUAUUACACGAAGGACAUAUGGCGCUUCACGCUCUUCUGGACGCUGCUCUUCUAUAUGGGUGCGCAUCUCUCCGCCGCCCUGUGUGCCGUCGUAAUGCAAUGGCGUAACUGGAAGCUCGUCUGGGCUGUGGUUUUAGUAUACGGACUCAUUGCUGGUUUGGAAGGGUUGCUGGCGGGUAGUGUCACGGGCCUUAUUCUCGGGGCUGUCUAUGAAGCCGGCAACUAUAAAAUGUCCACUUGGAUUCCUUUUUCGUGGGCGGCGCUUAAUACAUUGGUCUUGAUUCUCUCGAGCUUUUCGAUCCAGGGAGGGCUAUAGGCAACUCACGGCGCGUCGUUGACAAACAUUCUUAUUCACUUUAUCGACGACAUAUAGCUGAAAACGGAGGGAAACAAGCAACCCGACAUCCAUAAAAGUUUUGAGAGAAAGGGCUGGGUAAUAUCACUACCGUAGCUACAGUAUCAGCGGUAGUUCAGCCUAGAAAUAGGAAACAGCGCAAUACCAAUAAUCGGAUCCAACGCUAUACGCAUUCUUCUCUACAGUAUACUGGAUAUCUACCGCAAACCGAUGUCAUGGGAUAAGUGGGAUAAGAAAUAAAACAGAUAUUUCACCUAAUUCCCCCGUCGUUGCUCUUCCAUUAAGCUAUCUUGCUGGCUUGGCAAAGGCCCGCGUUUCCUUAUUCCAUUCGUGAAAUCCUCAUUUAGGUCGCCGGUUGGGGCUUGGCCUUGAAGACCGGGGAUUCCUGAAGACGUGAAGCCUCCGCCACCCUGCGUAGGAAAGUUUUGGUUUUGCUGGAACGUAUAGGAUUGCUGCUGAUGCUGUUGUUGUUGAGAAAAGAACUGGUUUUGUAAAGAUGAUAGAUCCAUAUGUGGGGCGAGACCACCUCCCUGCAUACCAGGCAUGGGAUAUGUCGGCGGGCGUAAGUUUGGUGGUAAGGAUUCGAGUUGUGGCGGAGGAAACGAGCCGGAAGAUAUCAUCGCCGCCAGACGGCUUGGUUCGACUUGCGACAUGGAUGAAACCGUACCUGAAGGGGGUGGCGGGGGUGGCUGAACUGCCCCAAUUCCUGGUAUCAGCCCUGGAAGCCCGACAUUCUCCCCAACCCCGGGAACACCCUGGAUUCCGAGAAGAACUGAAGCAUCGCGCUUCUUCUGGUCAACAAGUCCCUCCGCCUCAUCUUGAAGUUCCUGCUCCUCUUCUUCCUUCAUCUGUCGACGGCCAAAGCCACGGCUCCAAGUUCCCUGGGCUUCUGCGGCUUCUUCGCCAAUGUGGAAUCUAUCCUUCAGAUAGCUGGUUUCGCCGGGUCGGGCGCGGGACCAAAAUCGGGUAAAAUUAUCCUUGGAGCCGGACGCCAGAAUGUGGCCGAGGGGAUGCCAGUCGAGGGUCCAUAUAGUAGACGAAUGGGCAUAGGGAAUACGAUGAGCGGGGAAUAUAACUUGGGCGGGGGUGUUAGCAGGAUCAGCGCUGUCGUAUGGCGCGACAGUGGGGAUCUGCCCAGCUGGUAGAUUCUGCUCAUCCAAUAAAUAAUGAUGAAUUGAACCAUCUUCACUUCCCGUAGAGAUAAGCGAACUAUGAAUCGGGUGCCACGUCAUGGAAGAUAUCGGCUUCUCAUGUCCUCGUAAAAUGCAUAUGUCUCGCAUCAUCCGU
This 2101-nucleotide small RNA is filed under the name Histoplasma capsulatum var. duboisii H88. Its description in RNAcentral is "Histoplasma capsulatum H88 hypothetical RNA". The record is from RNAcentral. Lineage: Eukaryota; Fungi; Ascomycota; Eurotiomycetes; Onygenales; Ajellomycetaceae.